This is a long non-coding RNA of Mytilus californianus (California mussel), 303 nucleotides long. RefSeq lists it as uncharacterized. The record is from RefSeq and is a predicted model, not a curated record. The transcript has 3 exons. NCBI's taxonomy places the organism in Eukaryota, Metazoa, Mollusca, Bivalvia, Mytilida, Mytilidae.
GAGAUUAUAAUGUUUAAUUUAGGAUAGGAUAGGUCAAAUACAAGGUUAGAUUAUAAUGUUUAAUUUAGGAUAGGAUAGGUCAAAUACAAGGCUAGAUAUAAUGUUUAAUUUAGGAUAGGAUAGGUCAAAUACAAGGCUAGAUAUAAUGUUUAAUUUAGGAUAGGAAAGGUCAAAUACAAGGUUAGAUUAUAAUGUUUAAUUUAGGAUAGGAUAGGUCAAAUACAAGGCUAGAUAUAAUGUUUAAUUUAGGAUAGGAUAGGUCAAAUACAAGGUUAGAUAUAAUGUUUAAUUUAGGAUAGGAUA